UGGCUCAGUGGUGGAGUGCUUGCCUGGCAUGCAGGAGGCCCUGGGUUCAAUCCUCAG
RNAcentral lists this transfer RNA (57 nucleotides) under Dipodomys ordii (Ord's kangaroo rat). It matches the Rfam family "tRNA", at positions 8 to 63 of the family's 71-position model. From Rfam's summary of the family: Transfer RNA (tRNA) molecules are approximately 80 nucleotides in length. Their secondary structure includes four short double-helical elements and three loops (D, anti-codon, and T loops). Lineage: Eukaryota; Metazoa; Chordata; Mammalia; Rodentia; Heteromyidae. The record is from Rfam by way of RNAcentral.